UAAACCUUAAUGGCCAAGAUAUAACAAAAUUCCAGCAAUGCUUUUGUUGCACUCUGAAGGCUCAGAAAACGGUAUCAUAUAUGUAAGUCUCACUGUCCCAUGGUAACAUGUCUAAGGUUCUUAUGUUUUUUUUUUUCCUUUACACAUGCAAUCAUAUAAAAACCUUACGUUUGACAUGUUUACAAUCGCCUGAAAAAGUCUAUUGUGUGUAGCAAAUCAUAUCUAUGUCAAGUCUUAUACUUAUAAAUUUGCUUAAAUAAUUAUAACAUUGCACUUUAAAGUAAUUCACUUUUGAGAGCAAAAAAUUUAGCCAAUUUUUCUUUAGGAUACUUGAGUGCACUCAAUAAUUGUAUUCUAUUAAGUUUGUAAAACAUAUUUUUAAGCACGAGAGUAAGAGACCUAUGUAAAAUCAACUAGAUUGUUGCAAUUAGAUCAAGAGGAAGAGGACUUUCAUGGCCUCACUUAAAGCUAAAAGUAGGUUAAGAGAUUCAACCUAGCUUAUGGAUGACACAUACUUACCAACUAAAAAAUUAUAUCAGAUAAACUAAUUUUAUGAAUGAGUUGUGGAAAACGGAAUGAUGUGUGUGAUAAGUAUAUUUUAGUACUUAUCAAAUUAGCAACUCACGUGUAGUAUACUUAAAUGAACACCUAAAAGCAUAGAUUAUGCGCAUUAGCAAAUCUAAAUGAGCAAGGUUUUAUCGGAAAAACAUUAAAAACAGUUUUAAGAUUGUUUUUUUCAAAGUUUAUAUAUACCAGGGAGUACCAUCCAACCCUACCCGUGAAGAAAACCUGCCUACAAUGGAUCCAGUCAAUGCAUGGUCUGACCGUGGAUCGAUCAUUAAUCUCAUUUCACUUUAGCUUUCAAAAACCUAUCAAGCAUGAUGUCGGGGAUGAACAUUGCAACUUCUUUUAAAAAAAAAUACCCUUUACAGGUGGAUGACCAAAGUAUUUGAUUUCAGUUUCAUAUAUUCUUACGUUUUAUACGACAUAUAUUGAUGAGUUAAGAGUUUUAACAAACAUUUUAAACAUCUUUGUAAAAUUUUACUCAAAUACAAAUAUGAAAGUUCUAUGUCUUAUAACACAUUUCACAACAAUUUGGAUCCAAAAUAAUACUCAUAUAGGGAAUAUCUGACUCCUGGAACUAGUAGAUUCCACAUGAUAGGGCUUUUUAUUAGGGAAACACAUUUCUAAAAAACUUAUCAUUUUUAAAUUACGAAAAUAGUAAUUAACUUUGUGUGAUUAUCUAUCUUUAUGAUGUCAUGGAAAGUGGCCCAUAAUACUAAUCCUGGCGUAAUAAUAUUCACAAAUCACUAUAUGAGAUUAAUAAACUUUGGUUACAUGUGAGAACUGCAUAAAUUGUGUUAUGUCUAUUUAGAAACAAGUUUCACAACAAUAUACAUAUGAACACUAGUACAGAAAUGAUCAAAUGAUGCGGUUAAAUUGGCUAUGAGAUGCGGUUCUAGACCCGCAUCUUAUGGCAAAGCAUCUUAUGGCUAUAAGCCAAAAGAUGCGGGUCCAAGAGAUGCGGUUAUAGACCCGCAUCUUUUGACAAAUUAAGCAAAAACUACUUUUUCUCAAUAUAUUCAAGAGAUGCGGUUAUAGAACCGCAUCUCUUGAUGUUUAAGCUAAAAAAUAUAUUUUUCUUUUUUGGUUUAGUUUCUAGGAAAUUUUAUUAAAUUUACCAAUAAAUUUCCAUUAAAAACAAAUUAUCUAAAAAUGAAAAUAAAAUUUACAAAAACAAAAUUAAACUAAAACCAAUAUAAAAUAACCCAAGAAUGUAAAUUACAAAGGAUUUAAAGUAAAACAAAAUUACAAAAGUUUCAAUAACACAAAUACAUAUAUCUCUACAUAUGAAAGUGAUAUACAAUAACUUCAUGAACCAAUGUCUUGACGUCUUCAAUUCAUACUUGCAAUCGGAACCGUAGAAAUUGCCUAACAAAACAAAACAAAACGUUAAAUUAAUAAAAUGAAAGUUAAAAUGCAAUCUUUAAAUUCAAAUGUUAAAAAAUUAUCAUACAUGCAUACACAUAAGACAUGUAGUUCCAAAUCUACCCUACGUAUGCACAUAAGACAUGAAGAUUCAAAUCCAUGACCUACAAGUCCAACAAUACUACAAUCGACCAAUAUAUCUAUCAAAUCACAAAUCAUAAAUAUGGGGAUUGUAGGCUAUGGCCUCAAUUAUGUUAUUAUGUUGCAAUUCCUAAUUAAAAAAAAACACCAUUUUACUCUUUCCACUGUCACAUUCUUAGCAAAGCACCAUACAGAAUGAUCACAAUAUGAUAAAAUAAUUGCACCUAAAGUUAUGUGCAAGAACGACUACAAUAUGAUAAAAUGGUUAAUAAUUUAAAUGUAUGAUUAUGUUGGAACAAACCUAAGUUAUUUUAGGCUUCUGCAUAAGUAGGAUUCACCACAAUCUCUAUCUUUAUCAUGCUAGCAGCAACAUCCAUUUUGCCCUAUAUAUUAAUCUACAAUUCUAAAAGCGAUAAGGACUCCAACGUUGUUCAACAAUUGUGAGACACUUGGAUUAUUUGACGAAGCCAACACCAAAAGAACAAAAAUCUAUCAG
RNAcentral lists this long non-coding RNA (2566 nucleotides) under Helianthus annuus (common sunflower). RNAcentral describes it as "hypothetical non coding rna". Lineage: Eukaryota; Viridiplantae; Streptophyta; Magnoliopsida; Asterales; Asteraceae. The record is from RNAcentral.